This 253-nucleotide ribosomal RNA is filed under the name uncultured bacterium. RNAcentral's name for it is "partial 16S ribosomal RNA". It matches the Rfam family "Bacterial small subunit ribosomal RNA", at positions 524 to 776 of the family's 1533-position model. The record is from RNAcentral.
UACGUAGGGACCGAGCGUUGUCCGGAAUCAUUGGGCGUAAAGAGCGUGUAGGCGGCCACUUAAGUCCUGCGUGAAAUCUUGCGGCUCAACCGCAAGCGGUCGUGGGAAACUGGGUGGCUAGAGUGCGGGAGAGGAGAGUGGAAUACCUGGUGUAGCGGUGGAAUGCGCAGAUAUCGGGAGGAACACCGGUGGCGAAGGCGGUUCUCUGGGCCUGUGCUGACGCUGAGGAGCGAAAGCGUGGGGAGCGAACAGG